GGCGCGAAACAUGAUUGUCAAGGGAGUUUGUGCAAUUACAAAACCCACAAUUAGCAAUAUCGCGACACCUCCAACAUUGACCCGAGCCACCACUGCAACAGUUGCUGACAGUGACACGAGCGAUGAAGACUUUUAGCCACAUCACGCAAAUCCCAAGAAGUUCAUCGAAUCCAGCUGUAAAUGGCGUUCUGUUUCGAAAAGUUGUGUGUAUUGUGUAUCUCAUAGGGUGUCCGAACAACAAAAUUUCCAACAUGGUCAUCACAUCAACUUAUCAUUUAAGCUAACUAUUCAACUAUUCUUAGACAUUAUUCUACACAGUUUUAAUGUUAGCAAAACAACUUUUUUAGUUGUAGUACAGUGU
Long non-coding RNA from Bradysia coprophila, 361 nucleotides. NCBI's taxonomy places the organism in Eukaryota, Metazoa, Arthropoda, Insecta, Diptera, Sciaridae. The record is from RefSeq and is a predicted model, not a curated record.